GUGACUUAUCAACAGCUAUAGUAUUUUGAAUCAAUCCGUACAAAAUACAUAAAACUUGAAAUUAAAUACUAAUUAAAACCUCUUACAUCAUCCAUACAAAUUUCACUUUCAACAAAUAUCUAUCAUCUUCAACCCAACACACUUAUUUACAGCCAGGAACUUACCUGUGGAAUGAUUCAAAUAAAAAUUACAUCAAAAGAAAAACCUCAGGAAAAAAACUAAAAUGGGGGCUUUGUCUUCAUUCUUCCAUAUGGCUCUUUGAGGUCUUCGUAAGCUGAAGCCAAACUCAAUCUUUUCUCUUCAAGUUCUUCUAAUUGCUUGAUUGUGUAAACAACAGAAGUCGAGAUAUGCUUCACUAAUUCAAGUGUUUCGUUCUUCUUGGUUUGUUUUUCUGCGUAUAAAACCUCUAGUGCUGACUUCUCCUUUUCCAAGGCUUCAUUUUCUUGUUGAAGCUUAUUUAUAGCUCCCUGGAUUUCUCUUUGUCUCUUUUGGAGGUUUUCAAUCUCAGACUUACUAGUUGAGAUGGCAGUGUCAAACUGUUGAACUUUCAGUUUAGAAUCUUGAAGUUUGUUAUACAAGUCUCUCUUCUUAGAUGCCAGUUUUAUUUGUUUAUCCUCGGUUAGCAUCUUUUCUUGAGAAAUGUUGGCAGCUUUAUCGUAUAGCUCGAUAAAUUUGUCUACACCUUCUUGCUCUUUCGUAAUUUCUCUACGAUAAGCGUGAAGUUUUCGUAGUGAUUCUUCAAUUUGUUGCCGAUAGGAUUGGUCUGGAAGUUUCUCUAGCAAUGAAGUUGAGAACACUAAGGUUCGGAAUUCAUCGAGGACGGUUGUAGCAUCAUUUGCUUGAGCUACCUUUUGAACACAAGUUUCUGAUUGUUUCAGAGGAGGGGAUAGCUCAUUAGAGAGUAAGUCAAGGAUUGCAAAUGGAUUUUCAUACAACUGUUGGAGGCAACUCUCAAGGUCAAAGUACGAGUAUUUAGUAACAAAUUUCUCUGUAUCAUAAGUUUGUACAACUUGCUUAUUCGAUUCUUCUAACCUAUCAUGCAAGUGCUCAGAGCCCCCCUGGGAAGAGGCUUGAAGAGAUGUGCUCUGUAAAUGUUCAUCGGCCACCUGUGAAAUGGGGAAGUCCAAGUUUCACAAAGUAAAAUGGAAAAGCAUAUAAUGCUUCACAAGAGAUUUCAGCCUCUUAGUUAUUAAAGAACACUUCGAAGGGACCCAUCAAGUGCUAAACAGGGAGAAAUGAAUUGAAUUUUGUGGAGAAAACAAGGUUGGUUGUUGCAGGCGGAAAUUAUUUGAUGCAAGUAUAUACAAAUCUUUGCUUUGGUUUCAUAGGGAAUCUGUGAAACAGCAUAAAAACCAAGCCUUGAUGGACCCUCUUUGGAUCUAUGCACCAGAACAUGCUUCUAUUAUCGAUAAGUGCUAUGUCCUUUCGCUUUCGAAAGUUUUAUUGAGAUCAACUUUAGUUAGGUAGGAUUAGCCACAAAUUCUCCACUAAUUGGUUCUAUUAUUCUCAGUGUUGUUUUAGGUUGUUAAUCUUGGACAUUUCAUACACCUAAAUUUUUUCUUUAUGAUGAAAACUCUGCUGUUACGUUUUUGUAUGUUUUUAAAUACUUUCAAAUAUGAUAAAAAAAUUCAAAAUAAAAGAUACUUACAAUUUUUGUAGACUCUCUAGAUUUUUCUUUGGGACCUCUUCCAGCAAUGCUCAGGGUUUCCUUGCAAGUAGAUUCAGUGUUCUCUAGCUCAAUCAUCUCUACUACCUCUGAUUGUGUGACUAAACAUAGAAGAAAAUUAUGAGCAGGAGAAAAAAAGGAAUCAGCAAGAAAGAAAACCCAAAACGAUAGAUACAUAUGCUUUGCAUGAAAAACCUUUUAGUAAUCUUUAUGAUUAAUUAUUCUCCUCUAGUGAUGGAUUUAGACUUCUUGUCCAAUUUCCCCCUUGUUCCAUUCCAUCACAUAUUUUAUUCGGUAUUUAUUCUUACUUUAUCCCCUCCACUAUUAAUGCUUUAAUAUGGUAUCUGGAACAUAAAUGGCUUUUGAGGGACUAGGAGAGUAAAACUAAAGUGAAGAGAAAC
RNAcentral lists this small RNA (2067 nucleotides) under Vigna angularis var. angularis. RNAcentral's name for it is "Non-protein coding transcript". Lineage: Eukaryota; Viridiplantae; Streptophyta; Magnoliopsida; Fabales; Fabaceae. The record is from RNAcentral.